GAUGAACGCUGACAGAAUGCUUAACACAUGCAAGUCUACUUGAACUUCGGUUUGGGUGGCGGACGGGUGAGUAACGCGUAAAGAACUUGCCUCACAGUUAGGGACAACAUUUGGAAACGAAUGCUAAUACCUGAUAUUAUGAUUUUAGGGCAUCCUAGGAUUAUGAAAGCUAUAUGUGCUGUGAGAGAGCUUUGCGUCCCAUUGGCUAGUUGGAGCGGUAACGGCUCACCAAGGCGAUGAUGGGUAGCCGGCCUGAGAGGGUGAACGGCCACAAGGGGACUGAGACACGGCCCUUACUCCUACGGGAGGCAGCAGUGGGGAAUAUUGGACAAUGGACCAAAAGUCUGAUCCAGCAAUUCUGUGUGCACGAUGACGUUUUUCGGAAUGUAAAGUGCUUUCAGUUGGGAAGAAAAAAAUGACGGUACCAACAGAAGAAGUGACGGCUAAAUACGUG
Molecule: ribosomal RNA, 454 nt
Filed under: uncultured bacterium
Lineage: Bacteria
Description: partial 16S ribosomal RNA
Rfam family: Bacterial small subunit ribosomal RNA
Source: RNAcentral